Molecule: non-coding RNA, 73 nt
Organism: Stegodyphus mimosarum
Lineage: Eukaryota; Metazoa; Arthropoda; Arachnida; Araneae; Eresidae
Source: Rfam
GCCUUCGUGGCGUAACGGUCAGCACACUCGACGCGUAUCCAAGAGGUCCGUGGUUCGAGUCCCGGCGAGGGCA